GCAAGUCGAACGGUAACAGGCUCAGCUUGCUGAGUGCUGACGAGUGGCGGACGGGUGAGUAACGCGUGGGAACAUACCUGUUAGUUGGGGACAACCUGUGGAAACGCAGGCUAAUACCGAAUAUAUUCUACGGAAUAAAGGUGGCCUCUAUAUCUAGGCUAUCGCUAACAGAUUGGCCUGCGUUGGAUUAGCUAGUUGGUGGGGUAAAGGCCCACCAAGGCGACGAUCCAUAGCUGGUUUGAGAGGAUGAGC
Molecule: ribosomal RNA, 252 nt
Filed under: uncultured bacterium
Lineage: Bacteria
Description: partial 16S ribosomal RNA
Rfam family: Bacterial small subunit ribosomal RNA
Source: RNAcentral